GAAAAGCAGGGGAUCGCAAGACCUUGCGCUUUUGGAGCGGCCGAUGUCUGAUUAGCUAGUUGGUGGGGUAAUGGCCUACCAAAGCUUCGAUCAGUAGCUGGUCUGAGAGGACGGCCAGCCACACUGGGACUGAGACACGGCCCAGACUCCUACGGGAGGCAGCAGUGGGGAAUUUUGGACAAUGGGCGCAAGCCUGAUCCAGCCAUGCCGCGUGAGUGAAGAAGGCCUUCGGGUUGUAAAGCUCUUUCAGCCGGGAAGAAAAGGUUGCGAUUAAUAAUCGCAAUUGAUGACGGUACCGGAAGAAGAAGCACCGGCUAACUACGUGCCAGCAGCCGCGGUAAUACGUAGGGUGCGAGCGUUAAUCGGAAUUACUGGGCGUAAAGGGUGCGCAGGCGGUUUUGUAAGUCAGAUGUAAAUCC
This 419-nucleotide ribosomal RNA is filed under the name uncultured beta proteobacterium. RNAcentral's name for it is "bacterial SSU rRNA". It matches the Rfam family "Bacterial small subunit ribosomal RNA", at positions 201 to 601 of the family's 1533-position model. The record is from RNAcentral. Lineage: Bacteria; Pseudomonadati; Pseudomonadota; Betaproteobacteria.